AUGAACGCUAGCGGCAGGCUUAAUACAUGCAAGUCGAACGGUAACAGGUCUUCGGACGCUGACGAGUGGCGCACGGGUGAGGAACACGUACACAAUCUACCUUAUACUGGAGAAUAGCCCGGGAAACUGGGAUUAAUACUCCAUAGUCUUUAAUGAUCACAUGAGAAAUAAAGUAAAGCUUCGGCGGUAUAAGAUGAGUGUGCGUCCCAUUAGAUUGUUGGUGAGGUAACGGCUCACCAAGUCGACGAUGGGUAGCUGGCGUGAGAGCGCGACCAGCCACACUGGCACUGAGACACGGGCCAGACUCCUACGGGAGGCAGCAGUAGGGAAUAUUGGUCAAUGGACGAAAGUCUGAACCAGCCAUGCCGCGUGGAGGAUGACUGCCCUCUGGGUUGUAAACUCCUUUUAUAUGGGAAGAAACCUCUGGAUUCACUCCAGAGCUGACGGUAUCAUAUGAAUAAGCACCGGCUAACUCCGUG
RNAcentral lists this ribosomal RNA (479 nucleotides) under uncultured bacterium. RNAcentral describes it as "bacterial SSU rRNA". It matches the Rfam family "Bacterial small subunit ribosomal RNA", at positions 29 to 507 of the family's 1533-position model. The record is from RNAcentral.